CUCGUUUAAUUUUAUCUUAGCAAAAUUUUUGUCUACCACAUCUAAGAAGUUUUACAUGUAGGAUAGGUUUGACCCGUCCUGCAUCAACAACCUUCGCGGAGGUGUUGGAUCGAGCAUUGUUGGCAGAGCACGGCGAGACUUUUGUGCGUGAGAAGCACGAGUCUUCUGAACGUGCGGGGAGGGGUGAGGCCAUUGUCGAGCGGUUCGGGUGGGCAAUCAAGUUCUAGGCGCCACUCGAAGUUGUCCUCUACCCGGUCCUCCCCUGGAUGCGUGAUUUGCGGUGGCUCCCACUGGGCUCGGCGGUGCGUGCUGCGCAAUGGUAGAUGCCUUCGUUGUGGGCAGCCGUGCCAUAUGCGGGACGAGUGUCCGCAAGGGCAUGACCAGAUCCUGACACUGGCGACGACCUUUUCCUCUCCGGGACAGCCUGCAGGUGUGCCACCUGCGGCAUGGUCGGAUGAACGACCGUUGAGGAUGAUGCCACCGAGGGGCUCGCGGCGGGCGGCGGGUGACCGUGGAUACGCGACCCAGGUGGAGAAACCUACUACUGCUGACACUGUCAUGGCAGGUACGAUUUAAUUAAGCAAGCAUAUGCUUCUACCUAAUAUUGGACUGUUGCAUAGCAUGCAUUUAUCAUAUGGUCAGCAGCUACUAUCUACAUAUUGCAUAGUAGGGACCGAGUGGUCGGGUAGGUAGACACCCGAGCAUACUUGCAUCGUGAGAGUGUAGCGCCUGCUGGAGCAGAUAGAGAGUCAUGUAGCACUAACAAAUUGUUAGUGAUGGUUCCUGGACAAGAAAUGAGACUCGCGGUGAACGUGAAACGGUGAAGCGGCUCUCAAGGCAAUGAGAACCAGAUUGCGAGAGCUGCGCCGUGACGUUAAGGAUACCCUAGUAGUUCGAGCAUUUCGAAUAUGGUUCGGUAGAUCGAACAGUGAGAGUUGGAUCACUGUUGAGAAAAUAGUCGGAUAGUUAUCGAGCACGAGCAUGUGGGCCUAAUAGCACCCUGAGUUGAGGUGGGCGAGUAGUGCUCGUGUAGUCGGUGUGCAUAGGCAGGUGGCCUACUGCUUGGCUUAGUUGAAACGCUAUAGAGGCGUAGAGCGCUCGAGUAUAGGUACUCGUAGAGCAUGGAUUUGAUUCAGCCAAGAGUGAGAUGGCAGUAGCACCGCAGCAUUGCUAAGUGUGAAGCUGGCCAUGGGUCACUUGUGGGGCUAGCGGCUCGCACUAGAUACUUAGGAGCCGAUAGAGUGUCUAGCUCGGUAGAGCAUGUCGUGUAGGACGACGUUGGUGGAUAUUGCUUGGGGACGACCCGUGCCUGGACCAUUUGUGGACUGUGAAGCCUGGGCCCAUUGAGCAGGCGCAGUCAGCUGUGAGAGACAGCGGCCCGGUACCUAUAGGUAGGGCAGAGAGUUGGUCAGGACGGUAGUCCGAGCUUAGACCCGGGUGCGUGGAAUGCCACGUGUUGGAUCGUGAGAUCGAGUUUAGUGUGUUGUGACCCAACCCGAGGACUUGACGUGGUUUGGGGUCUUGGUUGUUCCUCUUUGGAGUGUGUACGAAUUCCCAAGUGAGAAUUUCGCCCGGAAGUUAGGAUUGGGUCUACAAUGCGAGCGAGAGACGCUAUGCGUAGUUGCGACGGGCCUACGUGGUGUUGGUGACCGUUGAUCCGCCUAUGGAAGCCGACGUAAUCGGUUUAGCCGAUAACUCCAUGGAGGAGUUGGUGCAAGGAGAUGAAUUCUCGAAAUACGAGAGUUGAACUUCGCUCGAGAUCAACUAAUUGUCGAGUGGGAGUGCUUCGCAAAAGCCGAAGAGGUCAAAUGCACCAAAAGUGCAUUGCAAUGGAGUCCGCGAGAGCAAAUGGUGCAAAAAUCUGCACUCGGCAGAUUUGCUCUCGGGGACCGGUCCCUGGCAGGGAAAGACCGGUCCCCGUAGUUGGUGAUUGCGGGGUUGCGUGAUGCAACCGGUCCCCGGGCCAGAGGAACCGGUCCCCGUAAGCGUAACCAGCGAGAAGAGGAGAUUGGCUAAGUCCUGCGAGAGCAAGCUCUCGGGGACCUGUCUCUGGUAGACAGACCGGUCUCCGGGGGACCGGUCCUCUAGGGGCAGACCGGUUCCCGUAGGUGUGUUCAGGCUGAAGGCUCUCAGGAACCGAUCCCUCAUCGGAAGGACCGGUCCCUCUACGCAAAAAAAUUGCCCAGGCAAGCUGGGUCAUAUUGGAAGAGUUGGAGAGCUUGAGGAUAAUGCUCUGUGGAUUGAGAUUCGAGAUGCGCCGGAGUGGGCCAUCUCUCAAUAGAGCAAAGAUCCAUAUGUAGUUGGAGCACUCGCGAUUGGUCGAUGCACCAAUGAUAUUGCUUCUAAGCAAUGCCGGUGAUCGAAUCGGAGUGUGUUCCCUGACAGGAAAGUAAAUGCAGAGAAGAGUUCUUGCAUACCAAGUGGUGAGUGAUGUUGUAGCGCGUAGAGUCGUUGAGUUUCGACUUGCGCUACCACCAAGAAUGACGAGACCCGUAAUGCACUUUUGGACUUACACACGGCAAAUGUGAGUGAAUCUAGUAUCACGUCCUCCGUAGUGGGCCUUUGGAUAGUUCCAAUGAGCGAAAGGCCACUCCGAGAUGCAAAAGUGCACUGUACCCUUUGUCACUCAAUAAAGAGAAUUAGAGUGUGAAUUGGGUUGGAGUGAGUUUCGGGGACGAAACUCUUAUUAAGGAGGGGAGGAUGUAAGGUAGCGGACUUCUAAAACUAUGAAGUUACGGUGUAUAUUUAAAUGGUUCCGGUGAGGUUGCGGUGGAAUGUAACAUACCGGAUUUUAAAUAUAAAAGUGAAAAUAAAUAAAAAUAGUAUGAGAUACUAUUUUUAUUGGAUUUAGAGAAGUGAAAUAUAAGUUGGGAAUGACCUGUGCUGAAAUCGGAGCGAAAAUAGUAGAUUUAGAAUUUUCUCUAAGAAACGGGGCAGAUAAAUUAGCAGAAAAUGCACAGUCUCAGAAAAUUAUGAAAAUUGGCGGAGAUGUCAGAAACAUUUUUAUGAGGCUCGAUUUAAAGUUUCAUGCCAUUCUGACACCCGGAAGGUGAAAAAUAGAAUCCGAAAGCUAUCUGAUAAAGAUUACUGUUCGGUACAGUUUUCGGUGACCAAACGGGGUCGAAACUGAAAUAUUAAAAUUUCUUUGGACUUAUUAAGUAAAACUGAGCCUGCCUGUCAAAUUUGAGCUCAAACGGACAUUCAGAAGGGCUCCGGCGAAAAAUAUCAAUUUCUAAACUGUCCGAAGUGAAUAGUGCAUAGUUGAGGGACUAAGUUGUAAAAUGGAUUUAAUCCCAUUUCUUCUUCUCCUUCCUCAGCCGCAGCAGCCCCAAACCGCACACACACAUACGCAUACACACACGCAUGGAAGGGAGAGAGAAAACUUCCAUUUCUCUCUCUAAAUCUCUCCCAAAAUUAAAGAAAUUGGUGGAGAUUGAAGCUUGUAGGUGAAUCGUCUUCAUCUUCUUUAUCUUCUCCAUUGUUUGGAGCUAAUUUUGAGGUGAGCUUCUUGAGCCCUCUCAUGGUAGGUCUCUAGAUAUGUGGUUUUGAUCUCUAGAAAUGGAUUUAGAGGAAUCCUAGCAUGCUAUCUAGAUGAUUGAUCCUUAAUUCGUGAAGGGAUUUGGUGAUUUCAUGCAUAGUUGUAAUCUAGGGUUCAAAAUGCAAUUUUUGGAAAUAGUUGGGUUUGAUCUCAAUUAACCCUCCGUAAACCUAAUUGCUAGGUAACGAAACGCGUUGGCGAAGACGGUUCGGCAAUCCGACGAGCCGUUACAAAGUUAUUAAAGAAACGGACGUUUAGGCUUCGUUUACGCCUGGAGGGCCGAGGCGACGUCGUAAAAUCGUGAAAACGGAUUUGAAGCACCGUGGCACAUAACCGAAGACCUUUAAUUUCCGGAUCGCAAAUCGGAGAUCGUUUGGCUAGUCGCGCGAGAGUUCGAGCCAAAAUUGGAGCAACAUGUUGGAUGCAAAAUUGUUGGGGCUGAUGAGAGAUGAGCAUACAUUUUGUAAUUGCGUAAAUGGGUCGUUCACUCCAACUGCUUGGAAGAGGAUGGUAAAUGUAAGGUACCGGACUUCUAAAACUAUGAAGUUACGGUGUACAUUUAAAUGGUUCCGGUGAGGUUGCGGUGGAAUGUAACAUACUGGAUUUUAAAUAUAAAAGUAAAAAUAAAUAAAAAUAGUAUGAGAUACUAUUUUUAUUGGAUUUAGAGAAGUGAAAUAUAAGUUGGGAAUGACCUGUGCUGAAAUCGGAGCGAAAAUAGAAGAUUUAGAAUUUUCGAUCAAACCCAACUAUUUCCAAAAAUUGCAUUUUGAACCCUAGGUUACAACUAUGCAAGAAAUCACCAAAUCCCUUCACGAAUUAAGCAUCAAUCAUCUAGAUAGCAUGCUAGGAUUCCUCUAAAUCCAUUUCUAGAGAUCAAAACCACAUAUCUAGAGACCUACCAUGAGAGGGCUCAAGAAGCUCACCUCAAAAUUAGCUCCAAACAAUGGAGAAGAUAAAGAAGAUGAAGACGAUUCA
This 4513-nucleotide long non-coding RNA is filed under the name Ananas comosus (pineapple). RNAcentral's name for it is "long non-coding RNA (ACOM_LNC023131)". Lineage: Eukaryota; Viridiplantae; Streptophyta; Magnoliopsida; Poales; Bromeliaceae. The record is from RNAcentral.